This 466-nucleotide ribosomal RNA is filed under the name uncultured bacterium. RNAcentral describes it as "partial 16S ribosomal RNA". It matches the Rfam family "Bacterial small subunit ribosomal RNA", at positions 28 to 507 of the family's 1533-position model. The record is from RNAcentral.
GACGAAUGCUGGCGGCGCGCCUAACACAUGCAAGUCGAACGAGCGAGAGAGAGCUUGCUUUCUUGAGCGAGUGGCGAACGGGUGAGUAACGCGUGAGGAACCUGCCUCAAAUAUGGGGACAACAGUUGGAAACGACUGCUAAUACCGCAUAAGCCCACGCCCCGGCAUCGGGUUGAGGGAAAAGGAGCAAUCCGCUUUGAGAUGGCCCCGCGUCCGAUUAGCUAGUUGGUGAGGUAACGGCCCACCAAGGCGACGAUCGGUAGCCGGACUGAGAGGUUGAACGGCCACAUUGGGACUGAGACACGGCCCAGACUCCUACGGGAGGCAGCAGUGGGGAAUAUUGCACAAUGGGGGAAACCCUGAUGCAGCGACGCCGCGUGGAGGAAGAAGGUCUUCGGAUUGUAAACUCCUGUUGUUGAGGAAGAUAAUGACGGUACUCAACAAGGAAGUGACGGCUAACUACGUG